Molecule: transfer RNA, 66 nt
Filed under: Coenobita rugosus
Lineage: Eukaryota; Metazoa; Arthropoda; Malacostraca; Decapoda; Coenobitidae
Description: tRNA-Glu
Source: RNAcentral
GCUUCUAUGGUGUAAGUAAACACGGUACGUUUUCGUUGUAUAGUUAAAAAGGGUUUUUUAGAAGCU